Molecule: long non-coding RNA, 286 nt
Filed under: Vulpes vulpes (red fox)
Lineage: Eukaryota; Metazoa; Chordata; Mammalia; Carnivora; Canidae
Description: lncRNA (ENSVVUG00000028819.1)
Source: RNAcentral
AAGUAUUGAACAGAAGGAAAUUGUAUGAAUAUAUCUUUUGUGAAAUAGUCUAGUACAUUAAUUUGUACUAAUUUUUGCCAAAUCGCAGAUUUUGUACAAGCUGUGGAGACAUCCCUUCUUCUGGUUCACGAUAAUGACCUUUACCUAGAAACAUAGAAGAUGUUUCCAUCUAUGACCAAAUCAUAUCAAAGGAAUUAGUUUACUUCAAGCAACUCAACUAUGAAGAUACCAAAGGUGAUAAGUGGGGAAUUGAAGACUCCAAGGAAUUAAUGUACCCCAGAGUAAG